RNAcentral lists this ribosomal RNA (495 nucleotides) under uncultured bacterium. Its description in RNAcentral is "bacterial SSU rRNA". It matches the Rfam family "Bacterial small subunit ribosomal RNA", at positions 903 to 1397 of the family's 1533-position model. The record is from RNAcentral.
AAAUGAAUUGACGGGGACCCGCACAAGCAGCGGAGCAUGUGGUUUAAUUCGAUGCAACGCGAAGAACCUUACCAGGGCUUGACAUCCCUCUGACAGGAUUAGAGAUAGUCUAUUUUCUUCGGAAACAGAGGAGACAGGUGGUGCAUGGUUGUCGUCAGCUCGUGUCGUGAGAUGUUGGGUUAAGUCCCGCAACGAGCGCAACCCUUGCCUUUAGUUGCCAGCAUUAAGUUGGGCACUCUAGAGGGACUGCCGGUGACAAACCGGAGGAAGGUGGGGAUGACGUCAAAUCAUCAUGCCCUUUAUGUCCUGGGCUACACACGUGCUACAAUGGUCGGUACAAAGGGUAGCAACUUAGCGAUAAGAAGCCAAUCCCAUAAAGCCGAUCCCAGUUCGGAUUGCAGGCUGCAACUCGCCUGCAUGAAGCUGGAGUUGCUAGUAAUCGUGGAUCAGAAUGCCACGGUGAAUGCGUUCCCGGGUCUUGCACACACCGCCCGU